AGCCAUGCAUGUGUAGUAUAAAUAAGUAUACUUUGAAACUGCGAACGGCUCAUUAUAUCAGUUAUGAUUCAUUAGAUGUAGAGUUACAUGUGGACACCCGUAGUAAUUCUAGAGCUAAUACAUGGUGGAAUCCUUCUAAGGUGUGUUCAUUACGAUGAAAACCAUAGACUCCUACUAGCUGUGCAGUAAUAAUAGCUGUGCGGAUCGCGUACCAAGGUGGGUUUUUUAAGUCUUUCAAGUAACUGCCCUAUCAAGGUGCGAUGGUAGUGUCUUGGACUACCAUGGCAGUAACGGGUGACGGAAAAUUAUUGUUCGAUUUCGGAGAAGGAGCCGGAGAGGGCUGCUACAUCUAAGGAGGGCAGCAGGCGCGUAAAUUACCCACUGGGGACAUCCCGACGUAGUGACGAGACGUUGAGGAACUACCUUUGGUUGCUACAUCUCUGAUUGUGUACAAGAGUUACGAUAAACUUAAUGGAGGGCAAGUCUGGUGCCAGCAGCCGCGGUAAUUCCAGCUCCAAUAGCGUAUAUUAACGUU
This 535-nucleotide ribosomal RNA is filed under the name Blastocystis sp. RNAcentral describes it as "SSU rRNA". It matches the Rfam family "Eukaryotic small subunit ribosomal RNA", at positions 47 to 611 of the family's 1831-position model. The record is from RNAcentral. Lineage: Eukaryota; Bigyra; Opalinata; Blastocystidae.